UCUGCAGUGUUGAAUGAAGUGAACCCUGAUGAGGGACCUAUAGAAGGAUCAUUUUUCCUUGUCAAGAGUAGCCUACUCAGCAUGCUGACCACAGCCUAACAGAUUGAGGCUUCUGCAUUGUUUAAAAAUAGCAGUGACAAGAAUAGGAGUUUUUGCUUAGAACAACAUGUGUCUAUCUCUCUGGUUUGCUGAAUUUUAAUAGCAUGCAAGUUCUUCAUGGAUUGAGUAAACUAUGGCUCUGAAGACAUCAGAAGAGUGUGGACAAGCUAUUCAAUACAGUGGGAAGAAAACAAUUAUGACUGAUUGUCCUGAAGUUACAGGAGAAUAA
Molecule: long non-coding RNA, 328 nt
Filed under: Mus spicilegus (steppe mouse)
Lineage: Eukaryota; Metazoa; Chordata; Mammalia; Rodentia; Muridae
Description: lncRNA (ENSMSIG00000031818.1)
Source: RNAcentral